RNAcentral lists this ribosomal RNA (254 nucleotides) under uncultured bacterium. RNAcentral describes it as "partial 16S ribosomal RNA". It matches the Rfam family "Bacterial small subunit ribosomal RNA", at positions 524 to 776 of the family's 1533-position model. The record is from RNAcentral.
UACGUAGGGGGCGAGCGUUGUCCGAAGUUACUGGGCGUAAAGCGCGCGUAGGCGGUCAUUUAAGUCUGAGGUGAAAGGUUCAGCGCUCAACGUGAACAGUGCCUUGGAUACUGGGUGACUUGAGUUCGGGAGGGGGCAGUGGAAUUCCAGGUGUAGCGGUGAAAUGCGUAGAUAUCUGGAGGAAUACCGGUGGCGAAGGCGGCAUCCUGGACCGACAUUGACGCUGAGGAGCGAAAGCCAGGGGAGCAAACGGG